This 3179-nucleotide unclassified non-coding RNA is filed under the name Penaeus japonicus. RNAcentral describes it as "trithorax group protein osa-like, transcript variant X2". The record is from RNAcentral. Lineage: Eukaryota; Metazoa; Arthropoda; Malacostraca; Decapoda; Penaeidae.
ACGCAGUGUUGGGCUUGGACAGACAAUGUCAACAAUAACGAAUUUCUUCUCUAUUUUCCGUUAUUGAUCCUCCUUUCCUAGCUCUAUCCUCGUCUCCCUUGCGACCCCGAAGGAGGAGGAUAACCGAGGAUCACCCAGAGAAAUGCCCAGCAAGUGACCCAGACGACCAUCACAGCUACCAUUGAAAUAGGCGCGAUGGACAACAGCAUGUAUUACCAGUACAACAGAUUUACUGACAAGAGCAAAUCAGAGCACGAAGGCUACGCGACAGCCCCUCCACCGACAACCACGGCACAGAAUUCGGGCCAGUUUGGCAAAUUCGGGGGAAACACGAUGCAGAGGCCAUCACAGUACCAAGGGUCAUACAAUUCCAUGGACACACAGGAGUCCAACCAGCCCAAGUUUGGAAAUACGUCCCAGAGACCGCCAACAUACGGUGAGUCCGGUGAUGCAAGCAAGACGGACGCAUCCCAGACAGACAGGUAUGGAAGUGGAUCGCAAAAGCAAGGACAGUAUGACACGUCUUACGAAAUGAUGGACGCGCAGAAUUCGAAUCGAUACGGGAGUGGUUAUGGAAAUCCGUACAUGAUGGGCGGCUACUACGAUGACUACGGGCACUCGGGAUACUAUAGUGACUAUGGGAUGUAUAGUGGUUAUGGAUAUUCACAUCCAUCUGAGAGGUAUGGAGAGAUGGAUUACUAUAGUGGUUCAAAUGUGCAGGAAGGUUAUGGGAAUUCCAAUCAGUCUACAAACUAUGGAAAUGGGAAUCAAUCAAAUAAAUUUGGCAACAAGGACCAAACUGAGGAAUAUGGAAAUUAUAUGUCCAAUAGAUUUACAAAUAAGAGCCAAGGGGAGAACUAUGGCACCCCACCUCCGCCACCAGGCAGAUUUGGAGGCAAGGAUCAGCCGAGCAACUAUGAGCCCCCACCCCCACCCCCACCCAGUAGGUUUGGGAAUAAGGAUCCACCAGGGAACUACGGAACACCGCCUCCCCCACCAAGCCGGUUUGGCAGCAAAGAGCCUCCAAAUAUUUACGGCACGCCACCUCCCCCGCCGAGCCGGUUUGGGAAUAAGGAACAGACGAGCAAUUACGGAACCCAGCCGCCCCCGCCUGCCCGUUUUGGAAGCAAGGAGCAAAUGGACAACUAUGGAACUCCACCCCCUCCCCCGCCAGGACGCUUUGGAGGCAAGGAGCCGCCAAACAACUAUGACCAGCCACCCCCUCCACCUAGUCGCUUUGGCAGCAAGGACCAGCCAAACAACUACUCCAACCCUCCCCCUCCACCGAGCAGAUUUGGAAACAAAGACCAGGGAGACAGCUUUGGAAAAUCUAACGUUCCAGGACGAUUUGGAAAUAAUGACAAUGACAGCGGUGGAUACGGAAACCCCCCCUUGGGCAGCCGAUAUGGAAGCAAAGACAUGCCAAAUAGGUUUGGAAGUAAUGACCAGGGGGAUAACUACUCCGGCUCGUAUCCACCCAACCACUUUGGGAAUUCAGAAUACUCGGAGAACUAUGGCAAUCAAAACCAAGGAAGCAGGCUAGGUAACUCCGGCCCCUCAAAUAAGUUUGGAAACUCGGAACAGAUGAACAGGUUUGGUAAUGAUGGCCCCCCAGAGAACUAUGGGGGGAACCAAGGCUACUCUAACAGGUAUGGUGGUGCAAAUGACUCCAAUGAGUAUGGAAAUCCAGACCAGAUGGACAGGUUUGGAAAACCACCACAACAUAACAAAUCAAAUAUGUCCAACUCAUCAAAUGCACCCAACACAUCACAAAGCCUACUUGGAAUGCCAAACAUGAAUCAGCAAAGUAAUUUCGGAAACAACGCGAACAAACAGCAACAACAACAGAAGCAACAGCAGCAGCAUAACACACCAACACAGAGCUUACUGGGCUUACCCAAUUCAGGAAAGCAAAACUCAAUGGGAAACAUGGGGCAGAAAUUCAACCCUGCACCUGGGCUCUUGGAUCUGCCCGGCAGCAACCAGAUGAACAAAUUUGGGAAUGGGAACCAGAAGCAGCAGCAGCCAUUUGGCAUAAUGCCAAGUCUGCUGGGCUUUCCUGAUGCAGACAUGUUCAACAAAUUCACAAGUGCCAUGCAGAAAAUGGCACAGGCUCAGUUCAACCCCUCAGGUGGCUUGCUGCCACCUCCCGAUAUGGGCAAAAUGGACCGAGGCAGUGGAAAGACGGCGGAGAUUGCCCCUCCACCCAGCAUGGCCCCUUGCAAGGAGCCUGAGCGCUUCAAUGAGCUCCCCAAGAAGCCAGUGAUUCAGUCCAAGAAGCCGCCUGUGCAACAAGCCCCGCCCAAGAACCCUUCACAGAUGGGCAUGCAACCUGUGAGGGGUCUUCAGGCACAGCUCCUCAGCCUUCAGGCACAAAUCCAGAACAGAGGCUUAGCUGCAGGUCCACCUGAAGAGCCAGGGAAGAACACAGUGCGCUUCGAUCUCCUGACCGGGAAGAUGAUCGGUCAGAAGCCGCCCCCAAUGACCUUCCAGAGGGGGGGGAAAGGAGGGCCAGCCCAGGCACGUUUCAGCAAACGGGCCGGGCUUGGCAUGAAGUCGGCCAUGAGCGAGGGCCAGUUUGGCAAGGGAUUUAAGGGACAGAAGCAGAUGAACAAGAUGGCCAUGAAGAUGGGAAAGAAUAAAGGUCAAAUGAAUAAGGCACAGAUGAACAAGCCCAUGAAGCAAGGCCAGUUUAACAAGGCCAACAUGAAGAUGGGCCAGAAGAUGGGGCAGUUCAACCAGUCGAUGGCGUACCAGAAUCCAUGGGCCAAGAAGGUUCAACGUGUUGCUGUCGAGGAUUGGGUUGCACUGGUGCCGUGAGCCCCCUUCUGCCACCGCCACCACUACUCUCCAGGCAGAUAAACCAGGCUUCAGAUACAGCUAGGCACCAGGAGAAUGAUGCCUCCCCUCCCCACUGUGGUGCCAUAAGCAGCAUAAUGCAUGGCAGGAUGUUCAGAUAGGCCAACUGCACGCCACUGCUCCUAUCACGUCGCUCUUUGGUAUGAAGAUGAUGCGCAGGAUGGGUUGGACUCCUGGUGAAGGCCUUGGGAAGAACAAGAAGGGGACGCUGGAGCCUCUGCUGGUGGAUGUCAAGACGGAUAGGAGAGGCCUCCACGCCAAGCAGGAGUCGGCCCCAAAGAAGGCAGCAGCACCGAAGCUCAAGGAAUACGACGGUACGC